Molecule: non-coding RNA, 1757 nt
Organism: Cyanistes caeruleus (blue tit)
Lineage: Eukaryota; Metazoa; Chordata; Aves; Passeriformes; Paridae
Source: RefSeq, a predicted model, not a curated record
UGAGACUGAAAGGAAAAAAACAUACUGUUACUGGUUUCAAUCCAGUGCACAACAGAUCAAAAGUGAUCUGAACAGAUUUUCAAGUGCACAACAGAUCAAAAACAUGAGGGAGUGGAUAGGCACAAUGAGAAAGUAGAAUAUUGAGUGCAAUAUCUGCAAAACUCCUUUCAUUGUACGCUCCAGGUUUCUUGAGCGCGUGUAUCAGUCACCUUUAUGUAUGCACACACCAUUUGUGUACACAGUUCUCUGGAUUUGGUUAUCUUAGACCAGGAGUCGAUGGCACUUCAGGAGUUGAACACAGUGUGCUGUGCUGCUCAAUAACCAUCGCGUGGCUUUGCUCUUGGACAUGGGUAGAAAGCACUAUCUUUUCAUCAAAACACACCCCUGGUUUCUUUUAUUUCCAAACAAAACCUUCUCACUGCUGUGGAUUUUACAGUUGAGGUGUUGUUGAGAGAUGAGUGACACGUUAUCUUCAUCAAGAUCACAGCUUAUUCUGAAGACUGACACAAAGUUGCACCUUUAGCUCAAAGAGCUUUCUUACCAUUUCUCUUGCAAAGGACAUCUCUGUUUCCCCCUCCAACUUCUGUUUUAUUGCUGAAGGAUGUUCCAUGCCUUUCCCACAUCCUGUGACACAGCAAGAGUAGCAGGGAAGAGAAGGCUUGAUUGUCAACAUUGCUCAAGCAGCAUUUGUUGUCCUGAGGUGCUGACUCCAGUGGAAGAGAUUUUAGUGGAAGCUUCUCCUGCAGUGUGCACAAGCUUCAUUUCAGGGUGAUAUGGUGUCCAGUUGCUGCUUGAAGUACUCCCUCUAGCCUAGAGAAUAUUUGCUUGCUCAUAUAGAGUGAACCUUCUGUGCUCUUGGCUUCUGACUGGUUAGGAAAUGCCCUCAGGAAGAUGGAGAUGAAAGUUCAGAUACAGAGAAAGGAGGGAAUUGUGAUUCUUGAGCAGGGAUUGUUACCACUCAGAGAGGAGAGCAACCUGGAGCUCAAGCAGGAGAGGUGCUCUUCAGAUGGCUCUCCACAUUGUCUUCCCUAACACACCAGUGAGGCACGAGACCAGGGCAGAAAUUCCAGUGUGGGGAGGGUGUGAGUCAUGAGAUGACACUGACCAUUAGGAAGACACUGCUGCAGAGUCUGAAACCAAACCAGCCUGUUCCUUGUUCUCAAGUCAUCUUGGGUUGGAAGCUGCUGAAAACUUCCUUCUGGAUAAAUAACUGUGACGUCCCCAUCAUGCCCAGAAUUGGAUUUCUUCACUGGGAUUACUGAAACACUGGUCUGCUCCGAGGCUUCUCUCAUAGAGGAAUUGUUCAGCUCCACAACAGGAGUGAGAAAAGUUUAAAUGCUUUGGGGCUCACUCCCAGGCACAAGACUUUAUUAUCUGAGCUUUUGUUUGGAAAUAAAUUGAGUUCUUGUCAUAGAUUUGGCAUCUUCUCCCGUGGUUCUUACAUAUCAAAUUUUCUCAUCAUUCUGGAAGAAGAUUCAAGUGUUUGUUCUCUUUCUUUUAUUGGCACUCAUCUUUAUUUAUUUUGUAUUCUUGAGAUGUGCUGCAUCUCUGGAGUUUGUAUUUCUACUUUUAGUGAAAAAUGCUGUACAUAAAAGUCUAGAAUGCAUCUGAAGUUUAGUCUAAUUUUUCAUGUGACUUUGACUUGAACAUUUUUCUGUUUAUGUUUAUAUUUCUAUUUCAAAUAUGUGCAUUACCUGUAUUCUUUAAGCCUUUUCCCCAUCUAUAACUCAAUAAAAUAAUGUCCACGUUCUUCAGAA